This 562-nucleotide ribosomal RNA is filed under the name uncultured bacterium. Its description in RNAcentral is "bacterial SSU rRNA". It matches the Rfam family "Bacterial small subunit ribosomal RNA", at positions 154 to 751 of the family's 1533-position model. The record is from RNAcentral.
AAACGGUGAUUAAUACUGGAUACUCCCUACGGGGGAAAGUUUUUCGCUAAAGGAUCAGCCUAUGUCCUAUCAGCUUGUUGGUGAGGUAAUGGCUCACCAAGGCUAUGACGGGUAUCCGGCCUGAGAGGGUGAUCGGACACACUGGAACUGAGGCACGGUCCAGACUCCUACGGGAGGCAGCAGUAGGGAAUAUUGCUCAAUGGGGGAAACCCUGAAGCAGCAACGCCGCGUGGAGGAUGAAGGUUUUAGGAUUGUAAACUCCUUUUGUUAGAGAAGAUUAUGACGGUAUCUAACGAAUAAGCACCGGCUAACUCCGUGCCAGCAGCCGCGGUAAUACGGAGGGUGCAAGCGUUACUCGGAAUCACUGGGCGUAAAGAGUGCGUAGGCGGGGUAAUAAGUCAGAUGUGAAAUCCUGUAGCUUAACUACAGAACUGCAUUUGAAACCGUUACUCUGGAGUGUGGGAGAGGUAGGUGGAAUUCUUGGUGUAGGGGUAAAAUCCGUAGAGAUCAAGAGGAAUACUCAUUGCGAAGGCGACCUGCUGGAACAUUACUGACGCUGAUG